RNAcentral lists this ribosomal RNA (503 nucleotides) under uncultured bacterium. RNAcentral describes it as "partial 16S ribosomal RNA". It matches the Rfam family "Bacterial small subunit ribosomal RNA", at positions 30 to 523 of the family's 1533-position model. The record is from RNAcentral.
AUUGAACGCUGGCGGCAGGCUUAACACAUGCAAGUCGAGCGGGGUGAUGGUGCUUGCACUAUCACUUAGCGGCGGACGGGUGAGUAAUGCUUAGGAAUCUGCCUAUUAGUGGGGGACAACAUCUCGAAAGGGAUGCUAAUACCGCAUACGUCCUACGGGAGAAAGCAGGGGAUCACUUGUGACCUUGCGCUAAUAGAUGAGCCUAAGUCGGAUUAGCUAGUUGGUGGGGUAAAGGCCUACCAAGGGGACGAUCUGUAGCGGGUCUGAGAGGACGAUCCGCCACACUGGGACUGAGACACGGCCCAGACUCCUACGGGAGGCAGCAGUGGGGAAUAUUGGACAAUGGGGGGAACCCUGAUCCAGCCAUGCCGCGUGUGUGAAGAAGGCCUUAUGGUUGUAAAGCACUUUAAGCGAGGAGGAGGCUCUUUUGGUUAAUACCCAAGAUGAGUGGACGUUACUCGCAGAAUAAGCACCGGCUAACUCUGUGCCAGCAGCCGCCGUAA